AUUGAACGCUGGCGGCAGGCCUAACACAUGCAAGUCGGGCGAGCGGCGGACGGGUGAGUAAUGCUUGGGAAUCUAGCUUAUGGAGGGGGAUAACUACGGGAAACUGUAGCUAAUACCGCGUACCAUAGGAUGAGCCCAAGUGGGAUUAGGUAGUUGGUGGGGUAAAGACUCACCAAGCCGACGAUCCCUAGCUGGUCUGAGAGGAUGACCAGCCACCUGGGGACUGAGACACGGCCCAGACUCCUACGGGAGGCAGGAGUGGGGAAUAUUGCGCAAUGGGGGCAACCUGACGCAGCCAUGCCGCGUGAAUGAAGAAGGCCAUCGGGUUGUAAAGUUCUUUCGGUAGCGAGGCGUUAACUACAGAAGAAGCACCGGCUAACUCCGUGCAAGCAGCCGCGGUAAUAC
Molecule: ribosomal RNA, 405 nt
Filed under: uncultured bacterium
Lineage: Bacteria
Description: partial 16S ribosomal RNA
Rfam family: Bacterial small subunit ribosomal RNA
Source: RNAcentral